GUGCAUGUGGUGGAUGCCUUGGCAGUCAGAGGCGAUGAAAGACGUGAUAGCCUGCGAAAAGCUCCGGGGAGGCGGCAAAUAUCCUUUGAUCCGGAGAUGUCUGAAUGGGGGAACCCACCUACUUUAAGGUAGGUAUUGCAACAUGAAUACAUAGUGUUGCAAGGCGAACGAGGGGAAGUGAAACAUCUCAGUACCCUUAGGAAAAGAAAUCAAUUGAGAUUCCCUCAGUAGCGGCGAGCGAACGGGGAUCAGCCCAUUAAGUUAUGUGUGUUUUAGUGGAACGCUCUGGGAAGUGCGAACGUAGAGGGUGAUAUUCCCGUACACGAAAGGGCACACAUAAUGAUGACGAGUAGGGCGAGGCACGUGAAACCUUGUCUGAAUAUGGGGGGACCAUCCUCCAAGGCUAAAUACUCCUGACUGACCGAUAGUGAACCAGUACCGUGAGGGAAAGGCGAAAAGAACCCCUGUGAGGGGAGUGAAAUAGAUCCUGAAACCGCAUGCAUACAAGCAGUGGGAGCACCUUCGUGGUGUGACUGCGUACCUUUUGUAUAAUGGGUCAGCGACUUAUAUUCAGUAGCGAGGUUAACCGUAUAGGGGAGCCGUAGAGAAAUCGAGUCUUAAUAGGGCGUUUAGUUGCUGGGUAUAGACCCGAAACCAGGCGAUCUAUCCAUGAGCAGGUUGAAGGUUGGGUAACACUAACUGGAGGACCGAACCCACUGUCGUUGAAAAGCCAGGGGAUGACUUGUGGAUAGGGGUGAAAGGCUAAUCAAGCCUGGUGAUAGCUGGUUCUCCCCGAAAGCUAUUUAGGUAGCGCCUCGGACGAAUACCAUAGGGGGUAGAGCACUGUUUCGGCUAGGGGGUCAUCCCGACUUACCAAACCGAUGCAAACUCCGAAUACCUAUGAGUACUAUCCGGGAGACAGACUGCGGGUGCUAACGUCCGUAGUCAAGAGGAAAACAAUCCAGACCGCCAGCUAAGGCCCCAAAAUCAUAGUUAAGUGGGAAACGAUGUGGGAAGGCAUAGACAGCUAGGAGGUUGGCUUAGAAGCAGCCACCCUUUAAAGAAAGCGUAAUAGCUCACUAGUCGAGUCGGCCUGCGCGGAAGAUGUAACGGGGCUAAAACUAUGUGCCGAAGCUGCGGAUGUAUACUUUGUAUACGUGGUAGGGGAGCGUUCUGUAAGCCGAUGAAGGUGUGUUGAGAAGCAUGCUGGAGGUAUCAGAAGUGCGAAUGCUGACGUGAGUAACGACAAAACGGGUGAAAAACCCGUUCGCCGAAAGACCAAGGGUUCCAGUCCAACGUUAAUCGGGGCUGGGUGAGUCGACCCCUAAGGCGAGGCCGAAAGGCGUAGUCGAUGGGAAAAUGGUUAAUAUUCCAUUACUUCUGUGUAAUGCGAUGAGAGGACGGAGAAGGCUAAAUCAGCCUGGCGUUGGUUGUCCAGGUGAAAGGAUGUAGGCAUGUAUCUUAGGCAAAUCCGGGGUACUCUAUGCUGAGAUCUGAUAGCAAGCUGUACUUGUACAGCGAAGUGGUUGAUGCCAUGCUUCCAGGAAAAGUCUCUAAGCUUCAGUUACACAGGAAUCGUACCCGAAACCGACACAGGUGGUCAGGUCGAGUAGACCAAGGCGCUUGAGAGAACUCUGCUGAAGGAACUAGGCAAAAUGGUACCGUAACUUCGGGAGAAGGUACGCUGUUGUUGGUGAUGGAACUCGCUUCCUGAGCUGACGACAGCCGCAGAAACCAGGCCGCUGCAACUGUUUAUUAAAAACAUAGCACUCUGCAAACACGAAAGUGGACGUAUAGGGUGUGAUGCCUGCCCGGUGCUGGAAGGUUAAUUGAUGGGGUUAGCGUAAGCGAAGCUCUUGAUCGAAGCCCCAGUAAACGGCGGCCGUAACUAUAACGGUCCUAAGGUAGCGAAAUUCCUUGUCGGGUAAGUUCCGACCUGCACGAAUGGCAUAAUGAUGGCGGCGCUGUCUCCAGCAGAGGCUCAGUGAAAUCGAAAUCGCUGUGAAGAUGCAGUGUACCCGCGGCUAGACGGAAAGACCCCGUGAACCUUUACUGCAGCUUGACACUGAACUUUGACCUUACUUGUGUAGGAUAGGUGGGAGGCUUUGAAGCUGGAACGCUAGUUCCAGUGGAGCCGUCCUUGAAAUACCACCCUGGUAAUGUUGAGGUUCUAACUCUGUCCCGUGAUCCGGGACGAGGACCGUGUCUGGUGGGUAGUUUGACUGGGGCGGUCUCCUCCUAAAGAGUAACGGAGGAGUACGAAGGUGCGCUCAGCGUGGUCGGAAAUCACGCGUAGAGUAUAAAGGCAAAAGCGCGCUUAACUGCGAGACCCACAAGUCGAGCAGGUACGAAAGUAGGUCUUAGUGAUCCGGUGGUUCUGUAUGGAAGGGCCAUCGCUCAACGGAUAAAAGGUACUCUGGGGAUAACAGGCUGAUACCGCCCAAGAGUUCAUAUCGACGGCGGUGUUUGGCACCUCGAUGUCGGCUCAUCUCAUCCUGGGGCUGAAGCAGGUCCCAAGGGUAUGGCUGUUCGCCAUUUAAAGAGGUACGCGAGCUGGGUUUAGAACGUCGUGAGACAGUUCGGUCCCUAUCUACCGUGGGCGCUGGAAAUUUGAGAGGAUCUGCUCCUAGUACGAGAGGACCAGAGUGGACGAACCUCUGGUGUACCGGUUGUGACGCCAGUCGCAUCGCCGGGUAGCUAUGUUCGGAAGGGAUAACCGCUGAAAGCAUCUAAGCGGGAAGCCUACCUCAAGAUAAGAUUUCCCUAGGACUUUAUGUCCUCUAAAGAGCCGUUCGAGACUAGGACGUUGAUAGGUUGGAUGUGGAAGCAUAGUGAUAUGUGAAGCUGACCAAUACUAAUUGCUCGUGAGGCUUGACUAU
RNAcentral lists this ribosomal RNA (2879 nucleotides) under Acinetobacter baumannii 25766_10. RNAcentral describes it as "bacterial LSU rRNA". It matches the Rfam family "Bacterial large subunit ribosomal RNA". The record is from RNAcentral. Lineage: Bacteria; Pseudomonadati; Pseudomonadota; Gammaproteobacteria; Moraxellales; Moraxellaceae.